CGGAGUAACGCGUGAGGAACCUGCCUCAAAGAGGGGGACAACAGUUGGAAACGACUGCUAAUACCGCAUAAGCCCACAGCUCGGCAUCGAGCAGAGGGAAAAGGAGUGAUCCGCUUUGAGAUGGCCUCGCGUCCGAUUAGCUAGUUGGUGAGGUAAUGGCCCACCAAGGCGACGAUCGGUAGCCGGACUGAGAGGGUGACCGGCCACAUUGGGACUGAGACACGGCCCAA
This 230-nucleotide ribosomal RNA is filed under the name uncultured bacterium. Its description in RNAcentral is "partial 16S ribosomal RNA". It matches the Rfam family "Bacterial small subunit ribosomal RNA", at positions 106 to 334 of the family's 1533-position model. The record is from RNAcentral.